This 467-nucleotide ribosomal RNA is filed under the name uncultured bacterium. Its description in RNAcentral is "partial 16S ribosomal RNA". It matches the Rfam family "Bacterial small subunit ribosomal RNA", at positions 28 to 507 of the family's 1533-position model. The record is from RNAcentral.
GACGAACGCUGGCGGCGUGCUUAACACACGCAAGUCGAACGGAAAGGCCCUGCUUUUGUGGGGUGCUCGAGUGGCGAACGGGUGAGUAACACGUGAUUAACCUGCCCUUGACUUUGGGAUAACUUCAGGAAACUGGGGCUAAUACCGGAUAGGAACUCCUGCUGCAUGGUGGGGUUGGAAAGUUUCGGCGGUUGGGGAUGGACUCGCGGCUUAUCAGCUUGUUGGUGGGGUAGUGGCUUACCAAGGCUUUGACGGGUAGCCGGCCUGAGAGGGUGACCGGCCACAUUGGGACUGAGAUACGGCCCAGACUCCUACGGGAGGCAGCAGUGGGGAAUAUUGCACAAUGGGCGGAAGCCUGAUGCAGCAACGCCGCGUGCGGGAUGACGGCCUUCGGGUUGUAAACCGCUUUCGCCUGUGACGAAGCGUGAGUGACGGUAAUGGGUAAAGAAGCACCGGCUAACUACGUG